GAUGAACGCUGGCGGCGUGCUUAACACAUGCAAGUCGAACGGAAAGGCUCCUGCUUGCUGGGGUACUCGAGUGGCGAACGGGUGAGUAACACGUGGGUGAUCUGCCCUGCACUUCGGGAUAAGCCUGGGAAACUGGGUCUAAUACCGGAUAGGAGCACGGUCUGGAUGCCAUUGUGGGAAGUUUUUCGGUGGGGGAUGAGCUCGCGGCCUAUCAGCUUGUUGGUGGGGUAAUGGCCUACCAAGGCGUCGACGGGUAGCCGGCCUGGGGGGGUGUACGGCCACAUUGGGACUGGGGUACGGCCCAGACUCCUACGGGAGGCAGCAGUGGGGAAUAUUGCACCAUGGGCGCAAGCCUUAUGCAGGGACGCCGCGUGGGGGAUGACGGCCUUCGGGUUUUAAACUCCUUUCGCUAGGGACGGAGCGCAAGUGACGGUAACUGGAGAAGAAGCACCGGCUAACUACGUG
This 465-nucleotide ribosomal RNA is filed under the name uncultured bacterium. RNAcentral describes it as "partial 16S ribosomal RNA". It matches the Rfam family "Bacterial small subunit ribosomal RNA", at positions 28 to 507 of the family's 1533-position model. The record is from RNAcentral.